CCUACGGGGGGCAGCAGUGAGGAAUAUUGGUCAAUGGUCGGGAGACUGAACCAGCCAAGCCGCGUGAGGGAGGAAGGUACUGAGGAUCGUAAACCUCUUUUGUCAGGGAACAAAGGCGGGUACGUAUCCCCGGAUGAGUGUACCUGAAGAAAAAGCAUCGGCUAAAUCCGUGCCAGCAGCCGCGGUAAUACGGAGGAUGCGAGCGUUAUCCGGAUUUAUUGGGGUUAAAGGGUGGGCAGGCGGUUUUGUAAGUUAGCGGUGAAAGCCCGGGGGCUAACCCCGGCCCCGCAUUUGAAACUGGCAGUCUCGAGUAGGAGAGAGGUAUGCGGAAUUCGCGGUGUAGCGGUGAAAUGCGUAGAUAUCGCGCAGAACUCCGAUUGCGAAGGCAGCAUGCCGGCUCCACACUGACGCUGAGGCACGAAAGCGUGGGUAUCGAACAGGAUUAGAUACCCCAGUAGUC
Molecule: ribosomal RNA, 460 nt
Filed under: uncultured bacterium
Lineage: Bacteria
Description: partial 16S ribosomal RNA
Rfam family: Bacterial small subunit ribosomal RNA
Source: RNAcentral